This is a non-coding RNA of Operophtera brumata (winter moth), 46 nucleotides long. NCBI's taxonomy places the organism in Eukaryota, Metazoa, Arthropoda, Insecta, Lepidoptera, Geometridae. The record is from Rfam.
CAAUAGGCCCUUUUCAGGGCCACUAGGUACAACAUAUAGUACCUCA